CCCGCAUCCAUCGCAUCCACCGCCGCGGCCGCAUCCAUCGCAUCCACCGCCGUCGCCCAUCCCCGUCCUCCCCCACCGCGUCGCCGACACAGCGCCGCCAUUGCCGUCGCUCCCCCACCGCGUCGCUCCCCCACCACGCCGCCGACCCCAGCGCCGCCAUCGCCGUCGCUCCCCCACCACGCCGUCAACCCCAGUGCCGCCAUCGCCGACCUCCUCCACCGCGUCGCCCAUCGCCGUCCUCCCCCACCGCGUCGCCGACACAGCGACAGCGGGAACGAGACUACGAGAGGUAUCGUUGGUCUGGCCAUUAUUACCAUGCACCCGCUCAAAAUAGCAUGUCUGAUCUGGGGCCUGGGUGCAUAUCCAAGUCACUAUCGAUCGCCUGCUGUCCGGUCUCCGUCGCCCCUUCAUCAGGUUGACGUCGAUGCGUCGCCAACGCUGCGCCUUGCUGCAGUACACUCUGGUAUUGUAGCCCAUCCUCUUUCACGUUUAUACAUUCUCUCUUUGAAGUUGAAGGAAAGUAAAUUACAAUUUUCUGUCUAUACGUUGCAUUUUUCCUUAGAGAUGGUAUAUGCUGCUUUAUUUCCUAUAGGGGUAUAUACUGAAUUUUAUACAGCAGUAUAUGCUGUAAUUUUCCAUAGAGGUAUGUACUGACAUUAUAGUAUACAUAUGCUUCUAUUUUCCAUAGGGAGGUAUGUAAUGAUAUUACAGUAUAUGCUAAAUUUUCUAUGGAGAUACUAGGAUUUGGGAAAAUCGGUGACACACAGGUAUUUCAUUAAGCGCCUCAUGAUCUGGUUUGGUCUGCUUAUGAUAUCAGCAGGGAAUCACUAAUUUAUAAGAGCUUGGUGGUGUUACUAAUUUAACUGCACAUGUGUAACACCCUAAAAAGAAAAAAAAGAAGAAAAAGCUAGCUAGCAGCCAGCCCAGCAGCAGCAGGCCAUGGGCCUUGGCCCAUGCAUGCACGCGUGCAGCAAGCAAGCGAGCAGUAGCGGCAGCUUGUAGCCAGCUUAGUACCACCUCGGCUAGCUAGCUCUAUCUACACUAGCUUAAAUAGGAGAUAUUACCGGUGACUGUAAACUCCGAUUCCGGAAUUUUUGCGACCAAUGCCGUUUUCGGGCCCUGGGCUGUCACAACAUGUUAUGUCCUUUUUGUAUUUAUUGGGAUCAAUUGUUUCCGGUAUGCAAGGUUUAUGGUUCUUUAGGGUGCUGAGAUAUUGUACACCCCAUGAUAAUUUGCCCAGACUUCCAUGAACACUGGAGGUGUGUCAUGCAAGGCCAUGUUGGUGC
Molecule: long non-coding RNA, 1286 nt
Filed under: Oryza sativa Indica Group (long-grained rice)
Lineage: Eukaryota; Viridiplantae; Streptophyta; Magnoliopsida; Poales; Poaceae
Description: lncRNA OsMH63_08G002130
Source: RNAcentral